This 1103-nucleotide long non-coding RNA is filed under the name Equus asinus (donkey). RNAcentral's name for it is "lncRNA (ENSEASG00005033265.1)". The record is from RNAcentral. Lineage: Eukaryota; Metazoa; Chordata; Mammalia; Perissodactyla; Equidae.
CAAAAGUCACAGACUGCUCAUGACAGUUGUCACCAGUGAGAGAGGAGGAGUUUAAAGGAAAUUGGUCUGUUCUGCCUUUUCCCUCCUUGUAUGCAUGAUUUAAGGUUAGAUUUCUGUCCCCAUUGUGCAUCCUGGAUGACAGACUCUUUCAGUGGUAUGCUUUGAGCUUCCGGAACAUUUUAUAAAAAGAUUGCCUUCUCUGUCUGCCUACAGUUGUAGGAUCUUUAACCACGUCAAGCCCAGGCAAUGUGAAUCAGCUGAGUCUUGUUUGAGACGAGGAGUAGGAUGUUUAGUUGGAGGUCUUGAGGCAGAACCCUCCCCCUUAUAAUGAUCUUGGUCCAGAGAACUCUAAAGCAGUAGGAGGGUGAGGGGAAAUAUGGAGUCUCAGCCUCUCCUCACCUUUAUUUCUAUCAUAAAUUUUAAAUGUAAGAUUGGAAGAUACAGAAAGCUUUUUAAGACCGUGUCAAUAGGGUAUAAUUAACCCAGGUAAUUUGGAAAUAAAAUUUGGCUGUAUUUGCUGUAUCCAGACGCCCUAACUUAUCAUCUUGUUCUCCAGCAAAGAACAUGCUGCUCUAACCUUGUCCUCUUACUUGGGACAAACUUUCCACCUGCCAGAAACUACCAUUUGAGGCAAGUGAGUUUUCUGCACGAAGGGCUUUUGCAGCUCCCGCUCCUCCCCCAAGGCAAGUCUACCUAUUUUGUCCAUUUUUAUUCUUAGGAACAUUAGUUCUGCGUCUCUGAAGCCUUUGAUCCUUAGGAAAGUCAGUAAGAACCUCUCAGCUGAGUCUGAGUGAAUCUUUGGAGCCCACGAAAGCUACACUUAAUUUUCAGCAGAGAAAAAUUUGUUGGACAAGCUCACAUGUGGAAUGUUAAGAGAAAUUCCAUAAUGCACUUCUUCCAUCUCUGCCUCGUGUGUUUUUUGAGUAAACCCUUCGUAGAAUUUGGUUCACAGGUGUUGAGUCUCAGGCUUCCUCAGCCAGCGUGGUUUGUUUUAGGAAAAAGAACCAUGAGCACCCAAAACUGUAUCAAUUGGCCCUUUCUAUUUUCUGUGUUUUUCAGUGUCUUGUUUUAAAGAAUUGAGGUGGGGAAAUGGUAGAUGAGAU